AUGAAUUAUAAUUGUGUUUUUAAAUCCAAUCCAUUUUCUUCCUUUGGUUUCAGAUCUUUUGUUCCACUUUUUUCAGACGGUACCUUUAGUGGAGCCUCUCAUUCACAGGGGAAGCACAGAGACGGAGCUUUAACCCUCCCCAGAACUAAAUCCAAAACCUUCAGCACCUCAGCUCUGCCUGUGAAACCCAGCAUCACCGUUUCUGCUGCUCACGAUCUGGAUUUCCCUUCAACUGUCUCUGCUGGCAGACUGAAGCUGAGUGAUUCUCCUCAGCCGUCGGCUUCUGAUCCCUCACCACUGGACUCCCCUCUGUCUUCAACGCUGCCAGUUCCAACACUUAGACUGAGUCCAUCUCCAACGUCCGGGUGCCAGGGCACCUACGUGGACGCCUCAGGAACCAGGCAGCCGUCCCCUAUUGCUAGAGAAAGACGUGCUAGGUCAAUUAGCAUCACACAUACUAAUAUCGAGCCCGUGUCCAGCAAAGAGAAAUCAGUACAUGAGAGAGAAAAUGAUGUUUUUGAACCUUUAAAGGAUGUCCCUCAUCCUGCCCUGAGAGGGGACUCUUCCAGGACAUACUCCCACAGACAAGCUGCUCUCGCCCCAAAUGCCUUUUUGCUGCAUCAAAAAGUUGAUUUGGCCAAAAAUGAAAGCAGCAAUUUGCAUAAAUCAAAAAUCCCGCCCGGGAAAACAGGCCUCCGUACGACCCUUCAACCAAACUGGGACUUAAAACAGCGGCUGGAACUCCUCCCAAAUGCAGCGACAAGUGUUCAAGCUUCAGAGCCUGAAGGGAUUCCACCGGGAAAGUCCCAGCUGGCGUUUGAUGCGCGGCCAAACCCUCGGGGAACGCACAGAACGGCUCAAACUGCAGGGUUUGGCUCAAAGGAACCAGUGCAGGAUCGCUUGUGCGCAGGAAGAGAUGCAGAUUUAGCAGCCCCCCCACUGGGCCCAGAUUCAACAGAACGCUUGUGGAGUCGGUCAACUGGACCAUCCCAACGGAGGCCGUUCAACUUUAACACUGCAGGAAACACACACGCCCCACUUCAAAGACCUGGGGAUGAAAACAGGACCGUAAUACCUGGAGCUGGACCCUCCUCAAGGCCCCCCCAACAACCCAGCGCAGCUCAAAACCAGACGUGUCCUCACACACACCGAUGGCGCCCCAGAAUAGAGAGUACAAGGAUCGAGGAUCGUUGCUUCCAGGCUGAACGGGACCCAUGUUCGGGUCAGACUGAGCAGCGUUUGCAGGGUCCUGACCAGCCGCACGGCGUUCUUCCUGCUACGUGCAGCACGUUACACACUAAAUGUUCCCAUGUUACACCAUGCAGCCAAAACAGGCACGCGGGGCCUAAUAAAAGCCGGGCGGCGUUGACCCUCAGUGACAUGGAGCUGAAUCAAAAAGCUGAGGGACCAGCUGAGCCGCCAGAAUGUUCAUGUGUCAAAAACUGGCCCCUCUCUGUGGAGCAGAGGUCGCACAUCCAGAAGGGUUCUGGCUACACAUCAAAUGGGGCCUUUGACUCUCCGCUCCAGCCACAGCAGGGAGUGGACCAGAGGGCAGCUGACACCGCGCCGACGGCCUCCUCCUUACCCAACCAGCCUCAGUACCGUCGCUCAGACAGGGGGAUUUUCCUGGAGGAGGACCCUUAUUAUGUCACCAUGUACCACCCUGGUUCAGUAUAUGUGGGUGAGUAG
This 1689-nucleotide long non-coding RNA is filed under the name Takifugu rubripes (torafugu). RNAcentral's name for it is "lncRNA (ENSTRUG00000027575.1)". Lineage: Eukaryota; Metazoa; Chordata; Actinopteri; Tetraodontiformes; Tetraodontidae. The record is from RNAcentral.